UGGGUCUAACUCUAGGUGCAUCAUAGAUUGAACCAUCUCAUAGUCAAUCUUAAUAUGCCUUUGCUCUUCAAAAAUCUUGGUAGUCAAACAUUCAUCUCUAUGAAGUUUACCAUGAAUGCUUGAUCUUUAUUUGAAAAUAGAAUGAAAUAAUUUCUAUCUAUUCUCAAAUAUUUUUUUUUCAAUUAUUUUACAUCAACAUGCA
Molecule: long non-coding RNA, 202 nt
Filed under: Elaeis guineensis (African oil palm)
Lineage: Eukaryota; Viridiplantae; Streptophyta; Magnoliopsida; Arecales; Arecaceae
Description: long non-coding RNA (EGUI_LNC082525)
Source: RNAcentral